Molecule: ribosomal RNA, 466 nt
Filed under: uncultured bacterium
Lineage: Bacteria
Description: partial 16S ribosomal RNA
Rfam family: Bacterial small subunit ribosomal RNA
Source: RNAcentral
GAUGAACGCUGGCGGCGUGCUUAACACAUGCAAGUCGAACGGAAAGGCCCAAGCUUGCUUGGGUACUCGAGUGGCGAACGGGUGAGUAACACGUGGGUGAUCUGCCCUGCACUUCGGGAUAAGCCUGGGAAACUGGGUCUAAUACCGGAUAGGACCACUUCUUGGAUGUUGUGGUGGAAAGUUUUUUCGGUGUGGGAUGAGCUCGCGGCCUAUCAGCUUGUUGGUGGGGUAAUGGCCUACCAAGGCGUCGACGGGUAGCCGGCCUGAGAGGGUGUACGGCCACAUUGGGACUGAGAUACGGCCCAGACUCCUACGGGAGGCAGCAGUGGGGAAUAUUGCACAAUGGGCGCAAGCCUGAUGCAGCGACGCCGCGUGGGGGAUGACGGCCUUCGGGUUGUAAACUCCUUUCGCUAGGAACGAAGCGUUUUGUGACGGUACCUGGAGAAGAAGCACCGGCUAACUACGU